UGGGGAAUCUUGCGCAAUGGGCGAAAGCCUGACGCAGCGACGCCGCGUGAGUGAUGAAGGCCCUAGGGUUGUAAAGCUCUGUGGGGAGGGACGAAUAAGGUGCAGCUAACAUCUGCAUUGAUGACGGUACCUCCUUAGCAAGCACCGGCUAACUCUGUGCCAGCAGCCGCGGUAAGACAGAGGGUGCGAACGUUGUUCGGAAUUACUGGGCGUAAAGCGCGUGUAGGCGGCCACGCAAGUCGGGUGUGAAAUCCCGGGGCUCAACCCCGGAAGUGCACUCGAAACUGCAUGGCUGGAGUCUCGGAGAGGAAGGCGGAAUUCUAGGUGUAGAGGUGAAAUUCGUAGAUAUCUAGAGGAACACCGGUGGCGAAGGCGGCCUUCUGGACGAGCACUGACGCUGAGACGCGAAAGCGUGGGGAGCAAACAGG
This 428-nucleotide ribosomal RNA is filed under the name uncultured bacterium. Its description in RNAcentral is "bacterial SSU rRNA". It matches the Rfam family "Bacterial small subunit ribosomal RNA", at positions 355 to 776 of the family's 1533-position model. The record is from RNAcentral.